UGAGGAAUAUUGGUCAAUGGCCGGGAGGCUGAACCAGCCAAGUCGCGUGAGGGAAGACGGUCCUAUGGAUUGUAAACCUCUUUUGUCGGGGAGCAAAAGGCGUCACGUGUGACGCUCCGAGAGUACCCGAAGAAAAAGCAUCGGCUAACUCCGUGCC
Molecule: ribosomal RNA, 157 nt
Filed under: uncultured bacterium
Lineage: Bacteria
Description: partial 16S ribosomal RNA
Rfam family: Bacterial small subunit ribosomal RNA
Source: RNAcentral